RNAcentral lists this non-coding RNA (47 nucleotides) under Trypanosoma brucei brucei. The record is from RNAcentral. Lineage: Eukaryota; Euglenozoa; Kinetoplastea; Trypanosomatida; Trypanosomatidae.
AAAACGCAUAUAAGUGAGUCUAUAUACAGAUAAUGAUGAUAAUUUAU